RNAcentral lists this ribosomal RNA (580 nucleotides) under Pseudomonas sp. CF46(2010). RNAcentral's name for it is "bacterial SSU rRNA". It matches the Rfam family "Bacterial small subunit ribosomal RNA", at positions 56 to 631 of the family's 1533-position model. Lineage: Bacteria; Pseudomonadati; Pseudomonadota; Gammaproteobacteria; Pseudomonadales; Pseudomonadaceae. The record is from RNAcentral.
UGCAAGUCGAGCGGUAGAGAGGUGCUUGCACCUCUUGAGAGCGGCGGACGGGUGAGUAAUACCUAGGAAUCUGCCUGGUAGUGGGGGAUAACGUUCGGAAACGGACGCUAAUACCGCAUACGUCCUACGGGAGAAAGCAGGGGACCUUCGGGCCUUGCGCUAUCAGAUGAGCCUAGGUCGGAUUAGCUAGUUGGUGAGGUAAUGGCUCACCAAGGCUACGAUCCGUAACUGGUCUGAGAGGAUGAUCAGUCACACUGGAACUGAGACACGGUCCAGACUCCUACGGGAGGCAGCAGUGGGGAAUAUUGGACAAUGGGCGAAAGCCUGAUCCAGCCAUGCCGCGUGUGUGAAGAAGGUCUUCGGAUUGUAAAGCACUUUAAGUUGGGAGGAAGGGCAUUAACCUAAUACGUUAGUGUUUUGACGUUACCGACAGAAUAAGCACCGGCUAACUCUGUGCCAGCAGCCGCGGUAAUACAGAGGGUGCAAGCGUUAAUCGGAAUUACUGGGCGUAAAGCGCGCGUAGGUGGUUUGUUAAGUUGAAUGUGAAAUCCCCGGGCUCAACCUGGGAACUGCAUCCAAA